GACGAACGCUGGCGGCGUGCUUAACACAUGCAAGUCGAACGGAAAGGCCCUGCUUGCCGGGUGCUCGUGUGGCGAACGGGUGAGUAACACGUGGGUGAUCUGCCCCUUACUUUGGGAUAAGCCUGGGAAACUGGGUCUAAUACUGGAUAGGACCAUGCUGUAGGUGGUGUGGUGGAAAGAUUAGUUUCGGUAAGGGAUGAGCUCGCGGCCUAUCAGCUUGUUGGUGGGGUAAUGGCCUACCAAGGCGUCGACGGGUAGCCGGCCUGAGAGGGUGGACGGCCACAUUGGGACUGAGAUACGGCCCAGACUCCUACGGGAGGCAGCAGUGGGGAAUAUUGCACAAUGGGCGCAAGCCUGAUGCAGCGACGCCGCGUGGGGGAUGACGGCCUUCGGGUUGUAAACUCCUUUCAGCCAUGACGAAGCCCUUGUGGUGACGGUAGUGGUAGAAGAAGCACCGGCUAACUACGUG
This 469-nucleotide ribosomal RNA is filed under the name uncultured bacterium. RNAcentral describes it as "partial 16S ribosomal RNA". It matches the Rfam family "Bacterial small subunit ribosomal RNA", at positions 28 to 507 of the family's 1533-position model. The record is from RNAcentral.